Macrobrachium nipponense is the source of this 521-nucleotide long non-coding RNA. RefSeq lists it as uncharacterized. The record is from RefSeq and is a predicted model, not a curated record. The transcript is spliced from 3 exons. NCBI's taxonomy places the organism in Eukaryota, Metazoa, Arthropoda, Malacostraca, Decapoda, Palaemonidae.
CAGCAUAAGAAACAAAAGAACUUGAAAUAAUCGGUAUAAAAAUGAUAGAAAAUUAGCAACUAGGUAACCCAAGUCAUUUUGACCUUCAAAAUGGACUUAUAUAAGGACGUUCAUCGACCAACGUAUCUUUGAAGACGGCCCCAAAAUGGAGUCAAGAAUGUUGAUUGCUGUUCUGUUACUCGGUUGUCUCUCGGUCAACUUGGCCCGCUGCGCCCCAGCCCCCGAUCCAGAACCGGAGCCGAACCCUGAACCUAAAAGGCCGAGAGAGAACAACGUCAAUACGAAUGUUGAAAACAAAGUCAAAAUUCGACCUGAGAUUGUACUUCCGCCCAACAUCUGUAAGAUGAUCGAAGAACGCGCAAAUCGUUAGAGACCCUCGGUUUGGUACCUAUUUCCGGGAUUCAGGUCUAACGUGACGGAGAAUGAUACUGGUGAUGCAAAUGUAAUGUGAAUAGCCUCUGUGCAACACUCGAAACUAAAUGUCUCAAACAACGCCUAUGAAAUAAAGGGGUAUUUACAAA